This 61-nucleotide transfer RNA is filed under the name Lamprotula gottschei. RNAcentral's name for it is "tRNA-Gly". The record is from RNAcentral. Lineage: Eukaryota; Metazoa; Mollusca; Bivalvia; Unionida; Unionidae.
AUAUUGGUAGUAUAAUUUUGUACAGUUGCCUUCCAAGCAAAAAGGCCUAUAGGCCAAUAUA